This is a long non-coding RNA of Pantherophis guttatus, 654 nucleotides long. RefSeq lists it as uncharacterized. Lineage: Eukaryota; Metazoa; Chordata; Lepidosauria; Squamata; Colubridae. The record is from RefSeq and is a predicted model, not a curated record.
AGCCUUGAAGGUCUGGCUGUUUUCCUGAGUAUCUGCCAGUUGUAUUCUUAACUUGCUGCCUUCUUUUCUCAAAAGAAAAAAAAAGACUCACCAGAAAUUGAUUACCUACCCAAUCUGCACUAUACAAAACUUCUAGAUGACUGAGUUUAGAAGGGCAGCCUGAACCCACUUAAUUUGUUUUACUUAAUCACCUGAGCAACCCAAGCUUGACAGUCUCAUGUAGAAUUACAAAAUGUCAUCAUAUAUGGCCGAGAGAAUGAGAAUUAAGUGUGGAAGAUGUGAUGCAGAAAGCAGGCUAGAAAAGCCUAUCAUACUACAAUGGAACUAAAAUGUUGUAAUUCUAAGAUUUUCUUCUGUCUCAACCAGCUAUUUAGGUUGUCUGAAAUCUGAACUGUGAAUGUAUUUGUGGUGAACGAAGAAUACUAGCCUCUUUUGGAAGAAGUUUGAAGUAAUUGGAUUCCCAGAAAGAAGGGGCUACUUUCCAUAGGACAAAGAUGCAGCAAAGCUUGGAAAGUCUGGUUCACAAGAAGAGGGUUAAAACAGUUUCACCCUAGCUAUUUUCAGAAGAUAUCUGCAGUUACCCAAAUGUAUUUUUUUUUUAGUGUGCCAGGAUUUUGUAUAUAGGUGAAGUAUAAUAAAAUAAAUUAUUCUGCA